CGAUGCGCCGGUUAAAUCAAAUGACAGAACUAAGUAUGUAGAACUCUCUGUGGAGGGCUUGCGGACGCGGGUUCGAUUCCCGCCGGCUCCACCA
This 94-nucleotide transfer RNA is filed under the name Cupriavidus plantarum. RNAcentral's name for it is "tRNA-Tyr". It matches the Rfam family "transfer-messenger RNA", at positions 278 to 374 of the family's 374-position model. From Rfam's summary of the family: Bacterial tmRNA, also known as 10Sa RNA or SsrA, is named for its dual tRNA and mRNA-like properties. Its role is to liberate the mRNA from a stalled ribosome. The record is from RNAcentral. RNAcentral also lists the same sequence under 2 other names. Lineage: Bacteria; Pseudomonadati; Pseudomonadota; Betaproteobacteria; Burkholderiales; Burkholderiaceae.